This 254-nucleotide ribosomal RNA is filed under the name uncultured bacterium. RNAcentral describes it as "partial 16S ribosomal RNA". It matches the Rfam family "Bacterial small subunit ribosomal RNA", at positions 524 to 776 of the family's 1533-position model. The record is from RNAcentral.
UACGGGGGGAGCAAGCGUUGUUCGGAUUUACUGGGCGUAAAGGGCGCGUAGGCGGCCUCCGCAAGUCGACUGUGAAAUCUCCGGGCUUAACCCGGAAAGGUCAGCCGAAACUGCGGGGCUAGAGUGCAGAAGGGGCAACUGGAAUUCUUGGUGUAGCGGUGAAAUGCGUAGAUAUCAAGAGGAACACCUGCGGCGAAGGCGGGUUGCUGGGCUGACACUGACGCUGAGGCGCGAAAGCCAGGGGAGCGAACGGG